RNAcentral lists this transfer RNA (70 nucleotides) under Dipodomys ordii (Ord's kangaroo rat). It matches the Rfam family "tRNA". From Rfam's summary of the family: Transfer RNA (tRNA) molecules are approximately 80 nucleotides in length. Lineage: Eukaryota; Metazoa; Chordata; Mammalia; Rodentia; Heteromyidae. The record is from Rfam by way of RNAcentral.
GGGAAGGUGGCUCAGUGGUAGAGUGCCUGCUUUGCAUGCAUGAGUUUCUGGGUUCGAUUCCUCAGUGCCA